UUAAGCGACUAAGCGUACACGGUGGAUGCCCUGGCAGUCAGAGGCGAUGAAGGACGUGCUAAUCUGCGAUAAGCGUCGGUGAGGUGAUAUGAACCGUUAUAACCGGCGAUUUCCGAAUGGGGAAACCCAGUGUGUUUCGACACACUAUCAUUAACUGAAUCCAUAGGUUAAUGAGGCGAACCGGGGGAACUGAAACAUCUAAGUACCCCGAGGAAAAGAAAUCAACCGAGAUUCCCCCAGUAGCGGCGAGCGAACGGGGAGGAGCCCAGAGCCUGAAUCAGUGUGUGUGUUAGUGGAAGCGUCUGGAAAGGCGCGCGAUACAGGGUGACAGCCCCGUACACAAAAAUGCACAUGCUGUGAGCUCGAUGAGUAGGGCGGGACACGUGGUAUCCUGUCUGAAUAUGGGGGGACCAUCCUCCAAGGCUAAAUACUCCUGACUGACCGAUAGUGAACCAGUACCGUGAGGGAAAGGCGAAAAGAACCCCGGCGAGGGGAGUGAAAAAGAACCUGAAACCGUGUACGUACAAGCAGUGGGAGCCUCUUAAUGGGGUGACUGCGUACCUUUUGUAUAAUGGGUCAGCGACUUAUAUUCUGUAGCAAGGUUAACCGAAUAGGGGAGCCGAAGGGAAACCGAGUCUUAACUGGGCGUUAAGUUGCAGGGUAUAGACCCGAAACCCGGUGAUCUAGCCAUGGGCAGGUUGAAGGUUGGGUAACACUAACUGGAGGACCGAACCGACUAAUGUUGAAAAAUUAGCGGAUGACUUGUGGCUGGGGGUGAAAGGCCAAUCAAACCGGGAGAUAGCUGGUUCUCCCCGAAAGCUAUUUAGGUAGCGCCUCGUGAAUUCAUCUCCGGGGGUAGAGCACUGUUUCGGCAAGGGGGUCAUCCCGACUUACCAACCCGAUGCAAACUGCGAAUACCGGAGAAUGUUAUCACGGGAGACACACGGCGGGUGCUAACGUCCGUCGUGAAGAGGGAAACAACCCAGACCGCCAGCUAAGGUCCCAAAGUCAUGGUUAAGUGGGAAACGAUGUGGGAAGGCCCAGACAGCCAGGAUGUUGGCUUAGAAGCAGCCAUCAUUUAAAGAAAGCGUAAUAGCUCACUGGUCGAGUCGGCCUGCGCGGAAGAUGUAACGGGGCUAAACCAUGCACCGAAGCUGCGGCAGCGACACUAUGUGUUGUUGGGUAGGGGAGCGUUCUGUAAGCCUGUGAAGGUGGCCUGUGAGGGUUGCUGGAGGUAUCAGAAGUGCGAAUGCUGACAUAAGUAACGAUAAAGCGGGUGAAAAGCCCGCUCGCCGGAAGACCAAGGGUUCCUGUCCAACGUUAAUCGGGGCAGGGUGAGUCGACCCCUAAGGCGAGGCCGAAAGGCGUAGUCGAUGGGAAACAGGUUAAUAUUCCUGUACUUGGUGUUACUGCGAAGGGGGGACGGAGAAGGCUAUGUUGGCCGGGCGACGGUUGUCCCGGUUUAAGCGUGUAGGCUGGUUUUCCAGGCAAAUCCGGAAAACCAAGGCUGAGGCGUGAUGACGAGGCACUACGGUGCUGAAGCGACAAAUGCCCUGCUUCCAGGAAAAGCCUCUAAGCAUCAGGUAACAUCAAAUCGUACCCCAAACCGACACAGGUGGUCAGGUAGAGAAUACCAAGGCGCUUGAGAGAACUCGGGUGAAGGAACUAGGCAAAAUGGUGCCGUAACUUCGGGAGAAGGCACGCUGAUAUGUAGGUGAAGCGACUUGCUCGUGGAGCUGAAAUCAGUCGAAGAUACCAGCUGGCUGCAACUGUUUAUUAAAAACACAGCACUGUGCAAACACGAAAGUGGACGUAUACGGUGUGACGCCUGCCCGGUGCCGGAAGGUUAAUUGAUGGGGUUAGCGGCAACGCGAAGCUCUUGAUCGAAGCCCCGGUAAACGGCGGCCGUAACUAUAACGGUCCUAAGGUAGCGAAAUUCCUUGUCGGGUAAGUUCCGACCUGCACGAAUGGCGUAAUGAUGGCCAGGCUGUCUCCACCCGAGACUCAGUGAAAUUGAACUCGCUGUGAAGAUGCAGUGUACCCGCGGCAAGACGGAAAGACCCCGUGAACCUUUACUAUAGCUUGACACUGAACAUUGAGCCUUGAUGUGUAGGAUAGGUGGGAGGCUUUGAAGUGUGGACGCCAGUCUGCAUGGAGCCGACCUUGAAAUACCACCCUUUAAUGUUUGAUGUUCUAACGUUGGCCCGUAAUCCGGGUUGCGGACAGUGUCUGGUGGGUAGUUUGACUGGGGCGGUCUCCUCCUAAAGAGUAACGGAGGAGCACGAAGGUUGGCUAAUCCUGGUCGGACAUCAGGAGGUUAGUGCAAUGGCAUAAGCCAGCUUGACUGCGAGCGUGACGGCGCGAGCAGGUGCGAAAGCAGGUCAUAGUGAUCCGGUGGUUCUGAAUGGAAGGGCCAUCGCUCAACGGAUAAAAGGUACUCCGGGGAUAACAGGCUGAUACCGCCCAAGAGUUCAUAUCGACGGCGGUGUUUGGCACCUCGAUGUCGGCUCAUCACAUCCUGGGGCUGAAGUAGGUCCCAAGGGUAUGGCUGUUCGCCAUUUAAAGUGGUACGCGAGCUGGGUUUAGAACGUCGUGAGACAGUUCGGUCCCUAUCUGCCGUGGGCGCUGGAGAACUGAGGGGGGCUGCUCCUAGUACGAGAGGACCGGAGUGGACGCAUCACUGGUGUUCGGGUUGUCAUGCCAAUGGCACUGCCCGGUAGCUAAAUGCGGAAGAGAUAAGUGCUGAAAGCAUCUAAGCACGAAACUUGCCCCGAGAUGAGUUCUCCCUGAGACUUAGAGUCUCCUGAAGGAACGUUGAAGACGACGACGUUGAUAGGCCGGGUGUGUAAGCGCAGCGAUGCGUUGAGCUAACCGGUACUAAUGAACCGUGAGGCUUAACCUU
RNAcentral lists this ribosomal RNA (2902 nucleotides) under Escherichia coli. RNAcentral describes it as "bacterial LSU rRNA". It matches the Rfam family "Bacterial large subunit ribosomal RNA". Lineage: Bacteria; Pseudomonadati; Pseudomonadota; Gammaproteobacteria; Enterobacterales; Enterobacteriaceae. The record is from RNAcentral.